CGAAAUAACUUUAGGGUUAGCCUCGACAACCUCCAUGCAGGGGGUAGAGCACUGGAUCCCUGAGGGGGCCUACCGGCCUACCGACGGGAACCAAACUCCGAAUACCUGUAUGGCAGUCGGGAGAUAGACAGCGGGGGAUAAGCUUCGUUGUCAAGAGGGGAACAGCCCAGAUCGCCGAUUAAGGCCCCUAAUUCUAGUUUAAGUGUGUAAGGAA
RNAcentral lists this ribosomal RNA (214 nucleotides) under Symbiodinium sp. clade A. RNAcentral describes it as "partial Bacterial large subunit ribosomal RNA". It matches the Rfam family "Bacterial large subunit ribosomal RNA", at positions 860 to 1074 of the family's 2925-position model. Lineage: Eukaryota; Dinophyceae; Suessiales; Symbiodiniaceae. The record is from RNAcentral.